CCUACGGGGGGCUGCAGUCGAGAGGCUUCGGCAAUGGGGGAAACCCUGACCGAGCGACGCCGCGUGGAGGAUGAAGGCCCUUGGGUUGUAAACUCCUUUUAUUCGGGAAGAAGUGCGAUCAGGUGAAUAAUCUGGUCGUUUGACGGUACCGGAUGAAUAAGCUCCGGCUAACUCCGUGCCAGCAGCCGCGGUAAUACGGGGGGAGCAAGCGUUGUUCGGAAUCACUGGGCGUAAAGGGCGUGUAGGCGGUCAAGUAAGUGGGAUGUGAAAUGCCCCGGCUCACCCGGGGACCUGCAUCCCAAACUGCUUGGCUUGAGUAUGGGAGAGGAUGAGGGAAUUCCUGGUGUAGCGGUGAAAUGCGUAGAUAUCAGGAGGAACACCGGUGGCGAAGGCGCUCAUCUGGCCCAAUACUGACGCUGAGGCGCGAAAGCUAGGGGAGCAAACGGGCUUAGAUACCCCAGUAGUC
RNAcentral lists this ribosomal RNA (466 nucleotides) under uncultured bacterium. Its description in RNAcentral is "bacterial SSU rRNA". It matches the Rfam family "Bacterial small subunit ribosomal RNA", at positions 338 to 795 of the family's 1533-position model. The record is from RNAcentral.